RNAcentral lists this long non-coding RNA (259 nucleotides) under Gossypium raimondii (Peruvian cotton). Its description in RNAcentral is "long non-coding RNA (GRAI_LNC010518)". The record is from RNAcentral. Lineage: Eukaryota; Viridiplantae; Streptophyta; Magnoliopsida; Malvales; Malvaceae.
GUUUUAAAUUUUUUUAAUUUUUAUUUGUUUAUUUGUUUAUUUUAUUUUAUUAACUUAGUUGUGUUUAUUCCACAGAAGGUGUAGAUACCAUAGAGUGACAAAACUGAAAAUUUUUUCAAAGAAGCCAUAAAUUGGGUUCAAUGUCGCGACAUUGCACCCUAAUGUCGUGACAUACUAGAUAGAACACAACCUCGCAACAUUGAAGGGCCAAGUUCAUCUGAGACGUUUUAUCAUCCAUUAUCAACACUUAUUAUUUUUC